CAGAGAGUAGUCUAAUUAAGGAUCCUAGCUUUGGGAGUUAGGGGUAGGAGUUAGAAUCUCUUCUCUUUG
RNAcentral lists this transfer RNA (69 nucleotides) under Alepocephalus bicolor (bicolor slickhead). RNAcentral describes it as "tRNA-Pro". It matches the Rfam family "tRNA". Rfam says of the family: Transfer RNA (tRNA) molecules are approximately 80 nucleotides in length. The record is from RNAcentral. Lineage: Eukaryota; Metazoa; Chordata; Actinopteri; Alepocephaliformes; Alepocephalidae.